Molecule: ribosomal RNA, 614 nt
Filed under: Takifugu rubripes (torafugu)
Lineage: Eukaryota; Metazoa; Chordata; Actinopteri; Tetraodontiformes; Tetraodontidae
Description: partial 16S ribosomal RNA
Rfam family: Bacterial large subunit ribosomal RNA
Source: RNAcentral
CGCCUGUUUACCAAAAACAUCGCCUCUUGCUUCAGUGAAUAAGAGGUCACGCCUGCCCUGUGACUAUAUGUUUAACGGCCGCGGUAUUUUGACCGUGCAAAGGUAGCGCAAUCACUUGUCCUUUAAAUGUGGACCUGUAUGAAUGGCAUAACGAGGGCUUAGCUGUCUCCUUUCUCAAGUCAAUGAACUUGAUCUCCCCGUGCAGAAGCGGGGAUAAAACCAUAAGACGAGAAGACCCUAUGGAGCUUUAGACAAAAAACAGCCCCUGUCAAUAAACCCUAAAUAAAGGGAAUAAACCUAGUGAACCUGUUUUAAUGUCUUUGGUUGGGGCGACCGCGGGGUAACAAAAAACCCCCAUGUGGAAUGAAAACACCCUUUUUAAACCCAAGAGUCACCACUCUAGGAUACAGAACAUCUGACCAAUAAUGAUCCGGCUAAAGCCGAUUAACGAACCGAGUUACCCUAGGGAUAACAGCGCAAUCCUCUUUUAGAGUCCAUAUCGACAAGAGGGUUUACGACCUCGAUGUUGGAUCAGGACAUCCUAAUGGUGCAGCCGCUAUUAAAGGUUCGUUUGUUCAACGAUUAAAGUCCUACGUGAUCUGAGUUCAGACCGG